AGGGAAUCUUCCACAAUGGACGCAAGUCUGAUGGAGCAACGCCGCGUGAGUGAAGAAGGUCUUCGGAUCGUAAAGCUCUGUUGUUGGUGAAGAAGGACAGGAAAAGCAACUGUUUUCUGUUUGACGGUAAUCAUCCAGAAAGUCACGGCUAACUACGUGCCAGCAGCCGCGGUAAUACGUAGGUGGCAAGCGUUGUCCGGAUUUAUUGGGCGUAAAGCGAGCGCAGGCGGAGAAAUAAGUCUGAUGUGAAAGCCCUCGGCUUAACCGGUGAGCUGCAUUUGAAACUGUAUAUCUUGAGUGCAGAAGAGGAGAGUGGAACUCCAUGUGUAGCGGUGGAAUGCGUAGAUAUAUGGAAGAACACCAGUGGCGAAGGCGGCUCUCUGGUCUGCAACUGACGCUGAGGCUCGAAAGCAUGGGUAGCGAACA
This 426-nucleotide ribosomal RNA is filed under the name uncultured Lactobacillus sp. RNAcentral's name for it is "bacterial SSU rRNA". It matches the Rfam family "Bacterial small subunit ribosomal RNA", at positions 356 to 774 of the family's 1533-position model. The record is from RNAcentral. Lineage: Bacteria; Bacillati; Bacillota; Bacilli; Lactobacillales; Lactobacillaceae.